Chelonus insularis is the source of this 1166-nucleotide long non-coding RNA. RefSeq lists it as uncharacterized. The record is from RefSeq and is a predicted model, not a curated record. The transcript is spliced from 4 exons. Lineage: Eukaryota; Metazoa; Arthropoda; Insecta; Hymenoptera; Braconidae.
UCCCCUGUAAUACAUACAAAUGUUUUCCAUUAAAAUUUGGUAAAGGAUGGUUAUGGUUGAAAGAGAUAGUUUUAAAUGCCCUAGGGUAUGGAAUUAAAUGAUAUAUUAUUUAAAGAUAAAUUUUAUAAAAGAGGGUGAUGAGAGAAUCAAUAAAUUAAAGUUCAAUUGAUAUUAUAUAAGAGUAUUAAAGGACAAUCAAUUUUUUCUGAAGGGUGUAGAGUAAACUACCCUCAACCUGGUGCUUUCUUUGUUUUAAUUGUCACCCUAAAUGUAAAAAUAAUUAGUCACAGAAAGUAGGAUGAAUGCAUAUAAUGGAAGCCGUUAAUGUCGUCAUUAUGAAUUAUGAUUUAUCGUAUCAUUGUAUGAAGAAUAUAAUACGAUAGUGGAGAAAGAGAAAUUAAAUUACCUGAGGCAUCGAUGGAUCUGAACGUCCAAAGCGAAGACGUAGUGAAGGAGAUCGUUGAGAUUUUCGAAUCAUCAGAUGUUCCAAAGGUGUAUCCAAUGCCAGGGGUGAUCUAAUGUUAUUGUCAUAUGAAUUACGACGUAAUAAAAGGCUAUAUAUUUCUCGUAAAUUUUCGAGGUUCCUGCCUACAUUUUCCUCUGAAAAAAUCAAUAAAAAUUUAUCAAGAUUAUAAAGAGAUUGAAUUUUAAUGCACAGUGAAAGUGAAGGCUUUGAGUAUCUUUUUUAUUCAAUUUUGGGAGAUUUAACCGACUUGUUAGAUUGUGAAGCUGAUCAACUUUAAAAACUGUCAGUAGAUGACAAGUUUACACCCGAUUUAACAAAUAUGAACAUCAGAUUAUCAAUAAUUCAAUAGAAAUAUUCGUCGAAUUAAAUAAAAAGUUAUCUACUAGGAAGAAUUUAUAUGAAAUUGCAUUUAUUGGUAUCAUUGAUGAUACUUUAGCUAAGAUACUGUUUGACAAGGGUAUAUGAAUAAAAGCACAUGUUUAUGAUAUCGAAAGAUCGUUGUCUAGUAUGUUUUAGAUGUACUGAAUCAAUUAAACGUGAAUUUAAUUUAUAAAAUAUAAACAAAAUAUUUUUAGUAUCAGUUUUUGCAAUUUUUUGAUUGCUAUUAUGGAGGUGUGCUUUUAGAGUUUAGAGAAUGGUUUAACAUUGAAAAAUCUGCAAACAAUUAAUUAAAACUGGGAACUUUUUUAAUUUGUAAAAA